RNAcentral lists this ribosomal RNA (585 nucleotides) under uncultured bacterium. RNAcentral's name for it is "partial 16S ribosomal RNA". It matches the Rfam family "Bacterial small subunit ribosomal RNA", at positions 355 to 932 of the family's 1533-position model. The record is from RNAcentral.
UGGGGAAUAUUGCACAAUGGGCGCAAGCCUGAUGCAGCCAUGCCGCGUGUGUGAAGAAGGCCCUCGGGUUGUAAAGCACUUUCAGCGAGGAGGAAGGUGGUGAGCUUAAUACGCUCAUCAAUUGACGUUACUCGCAGAAGAAGCACCGGCUAACUCCGUGCCAGCAGCCGCGGUAAUACGGAGGGUGCAAGCGUUAAUCGGAAUUACUGGGCGUAAAGCGCACGCAGGCGGUUUGUUAAGUCAGAUGUGAAAUCCCCGGGCUCAACCUGGGAACUGCAUUUGAAACUGGCAAGCUAGAGUCUCGUAGAGGGGGGUAGAAAUUCCAGGUGUAGCGGUGAAAUGCGUAGAGAUCUGGAGGAAUACCGGUGGCGAAGGCGGCCCCCUGGACGAAGACUGACGCUCAGGUGCGAAAGCGUGGGGAGCAAAACAGGAUUAGAUACCCUGGUAGUCCACGCUGUAAAACGAUGUCGAUUUUGGAGGUUGUGCCCUUGAGGCGUGGCUUCCGGAGCUAACGCGUUAAAUCGACCGCCUGGGGAGUACGGCCGCAAGGUUAAAACUCAAAAUGAAUUGACGGGGUCAUAGCUG